Molecule: long non-coding RNA, 2368 nt
Organism: Lycium barbarum (goji berry)
Lineage: Eukaryota; Viridiplantae; Streptophyta; Magnoliopsida; Solanales; Solanaceae
Exons: 2
Source: RefSeq, a predicted model, not a curated record
AUCCCGUAUUUUUGAACGUCGGAUUAAUUGUAAGUUGAGGUGGGGCCCACACGUCAAGAUUUUUUUUGGGACAUGUGACAAAUUAUAUGAAUCACAUAUGUGAAGUUAAACACAACUCAAGAAGGACCCUUGGGCCAAAUCAAAGUGGAAGUCCUCCAAACGAAUAUUUUUAAGAAAACGUUUUCGGGUGACCUGACUCUGGGGGGCAAAAACAGUAUUAUAAGUUUGGAAUUUGGAAAAAUACCAAGAAAUAGAAGUUGUAGAUAAUUGAAUUAUCUUUCCAACCAUAGGUCGUGGGUUCCCAGGUGACGUCGGGACAAUGAGAUAUGGACGUUUUAAUGCAGAAAGGUUGGUGGGCUAGGCCCAAUCCGAGCCCAACCGGGUUAGGCCCAUUACCCAAGUUUUUAUAAGUGAAAAUUUCGGCCUUCCUCCUCAUUUUAAGACCUGUAACAACCAGAAAAUUCUGGAAAGAGAGAGAGAGGAGCUUUGGAGAGAAGAAAAACUAAUUUUGACCAAAAUCCGAGCCCCGAAUCCCGAAGCCCAUGAAGGGAAAAGUGUUGUACGCUGCGUUGUCUUCAAUUUGAGCUAAAAAUCAACCAAGGAGGAGGGUGAUAACGUGGUGGCUGAAUUCUUAAGAUUUUGGGCGAAACGGGAAUUGAAUUUGGAAAGGCGUAAAGAGCAUACAAGGUAUGUAAAGCUAUCCCGAUUAUUCUUUUGGCAUGUCCUAGGUGUACUAGGAUCGGAUUCGAGCCUCGGAAAGUAUUCUGCUCAUCGGAAUCCGCAUUUGAAAAUACCCCUUUUUCAUUCAAUGGAAUUGAACCCUAUAAGUAUGCUUUAUUGAAAGAAUUGUGCAAACUUCCGCAAAUUGUUUAGAAAAUUAUGGAAUGUCCCCAGAAUCUCCGUAGGUGACUUUAUAAGCUUAAAAUACGUAAUUUGAGCCCACCGCUUCGUUUGUCCCGAGGUGGGCCCACUAUUUCCGAUUUUACCCUUUUAGUGGUUAUGACUUGUCUUCGAGCGUUUUUUUUUUAAAGAAAUGUUUUUAACUACGCUUGUAAUUACUAAAUAAAACUUGUUUUAAAUAUUCCAUUAAGUCUUGUAAAACUGUUUCGGAACUUGGAAACGAACUUAGAAAGAUUAUGCUUCUGUAAUCCAUUAUGACAUCCGAAAUACACUCACUAUGAUUCUGUCCGAUUUCAUUAUUUCGAUUUGUCAUCCGAUAGGUCUUAUUGAGUCUCUGGAAAUAUAUGACAUUCGUUUGAAUUAUUUUGAUAAGCCCAUAAUGUAUUUUGAAACAUGAAAAUGAUUACAAAAAGCUUAUUUUGACAUAUGCUAUUGGGAUAUCCGAAAUGCAUACACUAUGAUUACUGCUCCGCUUCUGUCAUAUGGUUUGUCAUCUGAAUUAUGCUACUGAGUCUCCGUAAAUGUGCUAUAUUUUAUUUUGCAUUAGUUUCUCACUACUCCAUUCGUGGAUGCCCCAAUGUUUCCCACACUGAGCCCGGGCCAGGAUAUGUUGUCAAGCGUAUUCCUCUGCAUUGUUCGCCGUGCCUCGAUGUGAGGGGGCAGGUAUACAUGUACAUGGGUUGUGGAGUAUGCUGUGCCAUGUACACACUCUGAUAUGAUAUGAUAUGAUCUGAUAUGGCCAUCUGAUAUGAUAUGUUAUGUUACGGGGUUAUCCCCUAUUCUGCUCCUUAUGUGUGGUGGCACCAGCGUCGGGGGGUGGCCACGUUCUGUUUGCCGAGUCCCUUGGAAGGGGUCGGAUAUGAUAUGGUAUAUGUUUCUGUACACACUCCUCAUGUUUCGAAAAUAUGCAUUUGAUACUUCGGAUGUUACACUCACUUCUCUGUAAGCUCUGUUUCGGUUAUGAUCUUGUUCCAUAAUGGGACCAGGUACGACAUAUGUUUCCAGCGAAUAUUAUUUAUGCUAUAUGAUCAGCAUUUUGCUAAUCUGGAUAUUCAGUUCAUUUUCUGUAUCUUCUGCUUCGAUUAUGACUUUGUUUACUACGUUCCGUGCUUUACAUACUCAGUACAUAUUUCGUACUGACCCCCUUCCUUCGGGGGCUGCGUUUUCAUGCCGCGCAGGUACAAACGACAGGUUUGCUGAUCCGCCCGCUUAGGACUUUAUUCUGCUAUUUUGGAGCGCUCCUUUAUCCGGAGCCCAUAUUUUGGUACAGUCUUCUGCUAUCGUAUAUAUGUACAUUAUUCAGGGGUACGACGGGGCCCUGUCCCGUCUUAUGAUUCUGUUAUGUUCUGUAGAGGUCUGUAGACAUACUUGUGUGGGUUCUGUAUAUGUUUUGGAUGAUAUGAUCUGUGACAGCCUUAUCGGCUUCCAUGUACUAUGUCGGUUCAUUUAUGAUAAUUACUAACGCCAA